UUAGAUUUACUUUCAGUUAACGUCGAUCACUGUUUGUUGUAGUUGGUAAAUCAGAAACAAAUUGUGAUUUGUAGUUUGACAAUGCAGAACAUUUGUUAUUAAGUAUUCGUGAAUUUGUAGAAUGGUCUUUCCUACGUACCCUGUGAGUCAAAAAAUGUUUAAAGUGUGGCUAAACUCAAAGUAGAAAGACUCCUUGUUUCCGAAGUCAUAAAGUGGUGUCGAAACCCCGCAGAUGUGCUUUUACCUCUGGAGUAAGGUAAAGGUAAAGAAACAUGGAGUAGUGUUAAUACGAAAACAAGACGCUUGAAUUUCCCAUGUUGCCCUGGGGAAAUGACUUUCAUUUCAUAACUACGACCCCUGUUGAUAACCCUCUCCUCCGGGGAAAACCUCCGAUUGGUCAGAAGACUGGCGUCCUGAAGGGCGUCGGUUCGAGAGCCGAGUGGCUUCCCCCAGUCGACCCAGUUGUUGAGUCUGAGUACCUAAAUCCAUACAGGACAGGGCAAGGAAGGAGAGGUGAUGGGAACCCACCUCGCAUAAAAACUGGCCCCGAGACAAGCGAGGUCUACCUCAACCCCCAGCGACCUGAAAACUAUCUUAUCUAAUUCUCAGAGGGUAGCUUUGCUGCCUGCAAAUAGAUGGAACCGUCUGCCUAGCAUCUCCUGGCGACAAAACAUCUCUGGAGCACAAGGAGAAAAUUAAU
Molecule: long non-coding RNA, 700 nt
Organism: Pomacea canaliculata
Lineage: Eukaryota; Metazoa; Mollusca; Gastropoda; Architaenioglossa; Ampullariidae
Exons: 4
Source: RefSeq, a predicted model, not a curated record